Molecule: ribosomal RNA, 441 nt
Filed under: uncultured bacterium
Lineage: Bacteria
Description: partial 16S ribosomal RNA
Rfam family: Bacterial small subunit ribosomal RNA
Source: RNAcentral
CUACGGGUUGCUGCAGUCAAGAAUCUUCCGCAAUGGCCGAAAGGCUGACGGAGCGACGCCGCGUGGAGGAAGAAGCUCUUCGGAGUGUAAACUUCUUUUAUUAGGGAAGAAUCAAUGACGGUACCUAAUGAAUAAGGGGCUGCUAAACUCGUGCCAGCAGCAGCGGUAAUACGAGUGCCCCGAGCGUUACCCGGAUUUAUUGGGCGUAAAGCGUACGUAGACGGUUUGGUAAGUUGAAUGUCAAAUCCCGUGGCUCAACCACGGGCCUGCGUUCAAAACUGCCUGACUAGAGGAUGGGAGAGGCAUAUGGAAUUGCCGGUGUAGCGGUUAUAUGCGUUAAUAUCGGCAGGAACACCAAAGGCGAAAGCAUUAUGCUAGAACACUCCUGACGUUAAGGUACGAAAGCGUGGGUAGCGAAUGGGAUUAGAUACCCGAGUAGUC